RNAcentral lists this long non-coding RNA (2353 nucleotides) under Sus scrofa (pig). Its description in RNAcentral is "lncRNA (ENSSSCG00060005016.1)". The record is from RNAcentral. Lineage: Eukaryota; Metazoa; Chordata; Mammalia; Artiodactyla; Suidae.
AGCGAGCGCUCGAGGGGGCGACGCGGGGUUCGCGGAGGGGCCCCCAGGACGCGCCGCCGGCUUCGCCACGCCGAGCGCCCGGCCCGGACCCUGUUCCCUAAAGAUCAGGACGGAUGGGGAAAAGCGCCCUUCUUAGGUGAAAGCAUCAGCUCGUUUCUACGUGUCAGCACUGGGAGAAGAUGUGGGGUCAGCGUCUUCACCAGGGAGCUGGUGCGAGGAUCAGCCCGUGAGAUGACAGACUCGGCGCCCUGCCAGAUGCUGUAAAGCGUGGAACUGUGUCAUCGAUGGUUAAGGAGAAAACAGGGUUUUGCAAAGGCACAACUAGAAGGAUGAAGGUGGCUGAAUAUUUGUCUUCUGAGUGAUACGGACUUUCCUUGAAGAAUGGCGCAUUUACGAGUGUCAGCCUGCCACCCGUUACUGCGAUUAGGUUCUUCAGCAACCGAGGAGGAAUGAGGAGGACUCAGACGGAUUUCGAAGAAUGGCAUGACUAAUGUACAAACAAGAGUGAAAGGGAGUGUUGGAAAAACUCAGGGACACUGAAGACUGAAGUGGGUUGAAAACAAAUCAGAACGUGAGUUCUCCCACUUGAGUGCGAGCAGAAUUUGUUUUUCAGAAGUAAUUUUUAAGGAUUCACUUGGAGAAGGAAGAGGGAUUUUCCUUUACGCUUUUGGAUCGGAUGGCUCUGUGUUGCGAACGGUUUUCUCGCGGCCUUCAAGAAUUUGUUUGGUACCCACUUGUUCAAAACCCAAGGGCAAACAGCCAAGUCCCCUUAAAGCUGUCCGCCCGGGACUACGGGAGUCAGUUUGAAACGUCUUCGUUUUAAGAAGGUGGCAGAAUUACAUAAUUAUUCACAGCUCAUAAGAAAUUAAAAUACCUCUUCCAAAUAUGAAGUCGCGAGAUAACACAAACCACAAGUCCUAGACUCUCGGAGGGCGUGUGCCUCGUUUGUGCUCCCACACACAAACCCACAGCCGACCGUCUGCGCUGAGAGCACGUGGCCCCACUGAGAGCACGUGGCCACGCUGACCUCGCUUCCCUCGUGUUCCUCCGCACACAGCAGGGCUCUUGCCCAGGGCCUCCCUUGGCGACGCCGAGGGACCGAAGAUGCCAAAUGCUGGAGAGGCGGGAGGUCACCACAAGGCACCUGGGACCACAGACGCACUCUCUUCCACUCAUGGCCAGGGUGCACGAGAAAACAGCAUAGGCACAGAGGAAAAUUUGUAAAAACCUGAACUAACUGGCUCGAGGCCUUGGCCCAUCCAAGCGCAGCCCGAAGCUGCGAGUCGCUCAAGGCUGCUUCAGAUCCGGGCGCGUUUUAUCUGCGGUGGGAAUUUUGGAGAUAAUUCAUCCUGAGACGGUUCAUCUCAUCUCAGCCCAGUUUUCAGCAAUUCCUCUGAGACGGGCCGUCCUUUCCCAGUGGACAAAGCGUGUUGACUGGUAUUUAUGGCGAUGCCCAAUGGGAGGCAGAGUCACAGAUUUCUCCCAAAUCUCGGAGCCAAAGCUGGGCUCUGAAGUUUUUCUUCUACGUGCUUAGAGGCAUUCGGGGACAUGGCAGAGAAAUUAGGGUGCAAAGGAUUACUCAUCAUAUCUUUAAGAUGCCGCCUUGCGCUGCUCUGCAAUUAGAAAACGUGUUCCCUCCCGAGGCUGGUGCUGGUCGGGGGAAGGCUGGAUGGCACAGCAGCAAGAUAAUUAGGCACAACAGAAUUAACUCCAGAGUAAGUGUCAGCCUCAGUUGCAAUCCUCCUCAUUUCAUUAUACUCAGCCCUGUAAUGUCUGUUUUUUUUGUUUUUUUGGUUUCGCUAAAUCAAUUUUAAGCAGCACCAAAAAACACCAGGAAGGUGGUAAGAAAGUGAAAAUAAGUGAGAAGAGUGUAUAUACUCCAUCGGGCCCGUCUGGAAAAUGUUUAAUUGGAUUCGCUCCACGCCAACACCACUGUGGCGGCAUCGCCGUCUCACGUGCGGGUUCACCCCCGGCAAGCUCAGUGUGUGGGGUGCCUCCCUCCCCUCCUCUCCCCUCCCCUCCAGUUCCACUGUGUCCACUGUGCUGCAACCGAGCAGGUCCUUAGGGGUCCUUCCUGGGACAGGCCCCUCCCCGCCCAUGUCCUCCACCUGCCUCGUGUCUGUAGAAAAACUUUAGCCUCCUGGGCCCUCACCUCCUUCCAAAGAAUGCAUUUAAUCAGAGAAGUGAGAAAUGCAGAAAGAAAGGACAAUAGUCAAGCCAGACAAAAGCCAUUCAACAAACUCCAGGGCCUUGCGUUCCUCGUCGGGGGCUGUAGAUAAUAUUCUGAGCCAUUUCCUCGAGCUGUUUUGCAGAGGCUGAAACCCCCACCAGGUGGAGGAAGUUAACUGUACGC